GACGAACGCUGGCGGCGUGCUUAACACAUGCAAGUCGAACGGAAAGGCCCUGCUUUUGUGGGGUGCUCGAGUGGCGAACGGGUGAGUAACACGUGUGUAACCUGCCCUUGACUUUGGGAUAACUUCAGGAAACUGGGGCUAAUACCGGAUAGGAUCUCCUGCUGCUUGGUGGGGGUUGGAUAGUUUCGGCGGUUGGGUAUGUACUCGCGGCUUAUCAGCUUGUUGGUUGGGUAGUGGCUUACCAAGGCUUUGACGGGUAGCUGGCAUGAGAGGGUGACCAGCCACAAUGGGACUGAGAUACGGCCCAGACGCCAACGGGAGGCAGCAGUGGGGAAUAUUACACAAUGGGAGGAAGCGUGAUGAAGAAACGCCGCGUGCGGGAAGACGGCCUUCGGGUUGUAAAAAGCAUUAGGCUGUGACGAAGCGUGAGUGACGGUAAUGGGUAAAGAAGCACCGGCUAACUACGUG
Molecule: ribosomal RNA, 468 nt
Filed under: uncultured bacterium
Lineage: Bacteria
Description: partial 16S ribosomal RNA
Rfam family: Bacterial small subunit ribosomal RNA
Source: RNAcentral